AGAGUUUGAUCAUGGCUCAGAUUGAACGCUGGCGGAAUGCUUUACACAUGCAAGUCGAACGAUGAACCUUAGCUUGCUAAGGGGAUUAGUGGCGAACGGGUGAGUAAUAUAUCGGAACGUGCCUUGUAAUGGGGGAUAACUAGUCGAAAGAUUAGCUAAUACCGCAUACGCCCUGAGGGGGAAAGUAGGGGAUCUUCGGACCUUACGUUAUAAGAGCGGCCGAUAUCUGAUUAGCUAGUUGGUGGGGUAAUGGCCUACCAAGGCGACGAUCAGUAGCUGGUCUGAGAGGACGACCAGCCACACUGGAACUGAGACACGGUCCAGACUCCUACGGGAGGCAGCAGUGGGGAAUUUUGGACAAUGGGCGCAAGCCUGAUCCAGCCAUUCCGCGUGAGUGAAGAAGGCCUUCGGGUUGUAAAGCUCUUUCGCAAGGGAAGAAAACUUACCAUCGAAUAAAUGGUGAGGCUGACGGUACCUUGAUAAGAAGCACCGGCUAACUACGUGCCAGCAGCCGCGGUAAUACGUAGGGUGCGAGCGUUAAUCGGAAUUACUGGGCGUAAAGCGUGCGCAGGCGGUUUGGCAAGUCAGAUGUGAAAUCCCCGAGCUCAACUUGGGAACUGCGUUUGAAACUGCCAGACUAGAAUAUGUCAGAGGGGGGUAGAAUUCCACGUGUAGCAGUGAAAUGCGUAGAGAUGUGGAGGA
Molecule: ribosomal RNA, 702 nt
Filed under: uncultured bacterium
Lineage: Bacteria
Description: bacterial SSU rRNA
Rfam family: Bacterial small subunit ribosomal RNA
Source: RNAcentral